RNAcentral lists this unclassified non-coding RNA (338 nucleotides) under soil metagenome. RNAcentral describes it as "partial contains 5.8S ribosomal RNA, internal transcribed spacer 2, and large subunit ribosomal RNA". The stretch from base 1 to 120 matches the Rfam family "5.8S ribosomal RNA", at positions 35 to 154 of the family's 154-position model. The record is from RNAcentral.
GAUGAAGAACGUAGCGAAAUGCGAUAAGUAGUGUGAAUUGCAGAAUUCAGUGAAUCAUCGAAUCUUUGAACGCACAUUGCGCCCCUUGGUAUUCCAUGGGGCAUGCCUGUUCGAGCGUCAUUUACACCCUCAAGCUCUGCUUGGUGUUGGGCGUCUGUCCCGCUGCUUUGCGCGGACUCGCCUCAAAGGUAUUGGCAGCGAUCAUGCCAGCUUCUCGCGCAGCACACUGCGCUUCUUGAAGUUCUGGUGGAUCAGCGUCCAUUAAGCUUACCUUCAUGACUUGACCUCGGAUCAGGUAGGGAUACCCGCUGAACUUAAGCAUAUCAAUAAGCGGAGGA